Pollicipes pollicipes is the source of this 527-nucleotide long non-coding RNA. RefSeq lists it as uncharacterized. The transcript has 3 exons. The record is from RefSeq and is a predicted model, not a curated record. NCBI's taxonomy places the organism in Eukaryota, Metazoa, Arthropoda, Thecostraca, Pollicipedomorpha, Pollicipedidae.
ACAAUGGAUCCAUGCUUUCGUAACGUUUUGGACGUUACGUAAGGCGUGGCCGCGUCCGCUGGCAUUGCAGCCCGACCCCUGUUUGUGCGGAACCAGGGAGCGUGCGGCUCGUGCUACGCGUUCGCCUCAAUAGCGGCGCUGGAGCCGCGCGUGCGCAUCCUCACCAGCAACACCAUGCAGCCUGUGUUCUCACCGCAAGACAUCGUCAGCUGCAACCAGUACAGCCAGGGCUGCGCCGGCGGCUUCCGCUACCUGAUCGCCGGGAAGUACGGCAUGGAUCGAGCGCGGCAACGACAUGUGCGGUUUCGAGAGUAUGGCUGUCGAUGUUGACGUCAGUCCGUAUUGAUGAUGUCACCAACUCCUGAUGGCGUCGGCACCUACCAACGAGGACAUUCCCAUCGACGGUGUGUCUCUUCAGAUGACGUCAGCAUGCCCACCUACCAUCAGCCCCUGCUGAUAUUCGAUGACAUCAUAGUAACCGAGUGGCGUCGUUGACGUGCCCGCGCCGGCUUCGCGGAGCGGAACGC